RNAcentral lists this ribosomal RNA (579 nucleotides) under Sarcoptes scabiei. RNAcentral's name for it is "small subunit ribosomal RNA". Lineage: Eukaryota; Metazoa; Arthropoda; Arachnida; Sarcoptiformes; Sarcoptidae. The record is from RNAcentral.
UUAUAAAAUUAAAAAAAGUUUAUUCUUAAUUAAUAAAUAUUUUUUAUAGGAAAAAUAAAAUAUUUUCUAAUAAUUAAAAUUUUUUAAAAAAUGUAAAAGUCCUAAAAGAUAAAUACUAGUGCCAGCAUUCGCGGUUAUUCUAUAUUUUUUUAAGUCUUUAAAUUCUUAAAAAUAUACAAAAUAAAAAAAAUAUAAUUAAGUAAAAUUAUUUUAUGAAAUUUAAUAAAUUUUAAGAAAGUAAAUAAAAAUAAAACUAGGAUUAGAUACCCUAUUAUUUUUUAGUUGUAUUAAAGUAGUAAAUUAUAAUAACAAAACUUAAUUUUUUUGGCGGUUUUNUUUUUUUUUCUCAAAAAAUAAAAUAUUUUUAAUUCAGAUCAAUGUGAAGAUAAUAAAAAGGAUUAUAUGAGUUACAAAAAUUAGAAAAAUUAAUUUCAUAAAUUUUUAAAAAUGGAUGUGAAACGUAAAAAUUUAAUAAAAAUAAAUUUUGGAUUAUUCCUAGAAAAAGUACAUAUCGCCCGUCACUCUUAUAAAUUAGAUAAGUCGUAACAAAGUAGAAAUACUGGAAAGUGUUUCUUGUUU